GCUCGCUUCGGCAACACAUACACUAAAAAUUCGAAUGAUACAAAGAUUACAAUGGACCCUGCACAAGGAUAACACAAAAAUUCAUGAAGCAUUCCAUACUUUU
This is a small nuclear RNA of Monodelphis domestica (gray short-tailed opossum), 103 nucleotides long. The record is from Ensembl. NCBI's taxonomy places the organism in Eukaryota, Metazoa, Chordata, Mammalia, Didelphimorphia, Didelphidae.